This 101-nucleotide Y RNA is filed under the name Propithecus coquereli (Coquerel's sifaka). RNAcentral's name for it is "Y RNA (ENSPCOG00000003112.1)". It matches the Rfam family "Y RNA". From Rfam's summary of the family: Y RNAs are components of the Ro ribonucleoprotein particle (Ro RNP), in association with Ro60 and La proteins. The Y RNAs and Ro60 and La proteins are well conserved, but the function of the Ro RNP is not known. The record is from Rfam by way of RNAcentral. Lineage: Eukaryota; Metazoa; Chordata; Mammalia; Primates; Indriidae.
GGCUGGUCUGAGUGCAGUGGUGUGUGCAGCUAAUUGAUCACAACCCUUACAGAUUCCUUUGUUGCUUCUCCACUCCCACUGCUUCACUCGACUAGCCUUAA